GCGGCGUGCUUCAUACAUGCAAGUCGAACGAGAAGCAGGAGCUUGCUCCUGUGGAAAGUGGCGGACGGGUGAGUAACACGUAGGAAAUCUGCCUUUGGGUGGGGGACAACAGUUGGAAACGACUGCUAAUACCCCAUAUGAGCUUGGUUGCAAUACCAAUCUUGAAAACUCCGGUGCCUAAAGAUGAGCCUGCGUCUGAUUAGCUUGUUGGCGGGGUAAUGGCCCACCAAGGCGACGAUCAGUAGCUGGUUUGAGAGGAUGAUCAGCCACAAUGGGACUGAGACACGGCCCAGACUCCUACGGGAGGCAGCAGUAGGGAAUUUUGCGCAAUGGGGGAAACCCUGACGCAGCAACGCCGCGUGAAUGACGAAGCCCUUCGGGGUGUAAAGUUCUGUCAGUAGGGAAGAAUUUUGACCGUACCUACAAAGGAAGCACCGGCUAACUCCGUGCCAGCCGCCGCCGUAA
RNAcentral lists this ribosomal RNA (465 nucleotides) under uncultured bacterium. Its description in RNAcentral is "partial 16S ribosomal RNA". It matches the Rfam family "Bacterial small subunit ribosomal RNA", at positions 39 to 523 of the family's 1533-position model. The record is from RNAcentral.